CUAACACAUGCAAGUCGAGCGGUAACAGAUCUAGCUUGCUGGAUGCUGACGAGCGGCGGACGGGUGAGUAAUGCAUAGGAAUCUGCCCGGUAGUGGGGGAUAACCUGGGGAAACCCAGGCUAAUACCGCAUACGUCCUACGGGAGAAAGGGGGCUCCGGCUCCCGCUAUGGGAUGAGCCUAUGUCGGAUUAGCUAGUUGGUGAGGUAACGGCUCACCAAGGCCGCGAUCCGUAGCUGGUCUGAGAGGAUGAUCAGCCACAUCGGGACUGAGACACGGCCCGAACUCCUACGGGAGGCAGCAGUGGGGAAUAUUGGACAAUGGGGGAAACCCUGAUCCAGCCAUGCCGCGUGUGUGAAGAAGGCCCUCGGGUUGUAAAGCACUUUCAGCGAGGAAGAACGCCUAGCGGUUAAUACCCGCUAGGAAAGACAUCACUCGCAGAAGAAGCACCGGCUAACUCCGUGCCAGCAGCCGCGGUAAUACGGAGGGUGCAAGCGUUAAUCGGAAUUACUGGGCGUAAAGCGCGCGUAGGUGGCUUGGUAAGCCGGUUGUGAAAGCCCCGGGCUCAACCUGGGAACGGCAUCCGGAACUGUCAAGCUAGAGUGCAGGAGAGGAAGGUAGAA
This 621-nucleotide ribosomal RNA is filed under the name uncultured bacterium. Its description in RNAcentral is "bacterial SSU rRNA". It matches the Rfam family "Bacterial small subunit ribosomal RNA", at positions 48 to 666 of the family's 1533-position model. The record is from RNAcentral.